UUAAUUUUAUGUUGGAUAAAGACAUUAUGUUAAGUUAAGUUAUGCGAAAAAGUUAAAAAAUGCACAUUCUUCAGUUAAUCAGUUUCCUGUUGUCCAAUUAUUGGUUGAAUAGCACUGGUAUCGAUUGGUCUUGAUGAUCUUUGGUUAAACUUACAGACAUUAUGCAGUUUUUGUCACAGGUUACUACUGAUAUUAUAUGUAAAUCAUAACGAUCUUCCUUUUUUCCAAGUCCUUUUUGAGAUGUUCUGAGCGUUUAACUUGAAACGAUUGUUACGCUCGGCCCAGUACAGCCCAUAGACCAGGUCCAACAGCUCUCUUCCCUCGACCGUUCCUGUUGCCGUCGUGCCCCGCACUUCCCGUUUUCUUUCCACUCGUUGACCACCCUCCAUCGUCCACUCGACGUUAUCUUACGUCGACUCUUUCGUUUAAAUUCCUUUUCCUGAAUCCAGCCUCUCCAAGAUUUCUGGAUCAUAACACGAUGAGCGAUCUUUUGACAUCGAAAACGCUGUUUACUUUAUCAUGUUUGCAAAGACAUAGAUGGUAAUAUUAGCCAGAUUAAGUUUCAGUACCUAAAAAAUUCCGCAUCGGCUCGGCUAGGAACUCAAGUAUCACUCCGUAUACAAUCUGCGACAGACCAAAGGCCUUUUUGAAACUAAACGCAGUUGUAAAAGUGAAGGUUGAUUGACGCUGCGGUUCAAAAGUACCAAUGAUGAUAUUGCAAUUGGAAAGAAUUCUACAGCGGGUCGGCUUUGCUGUUCUCUUUCUUGAAUUCUUGCAACAGAAGUUGGCUGUCGAUGUUUUGGUCGGUAGCAAUCGCUUUCCCCUUGCCGCACAAAAGUUUAUGCCAACCCAAUGUAAUCAAGUGAAAAAGGUGCAUCUGAAUGUACGCAGUUUUCAUCGUUUUGGUCUUGAGUGGACCCAAUAGGGGAAAAUAUGGAAUUCUACGAAUCACUGCCAGCAAGUGAUGUGAUCGUGGUACAGGUAUUGAAAUCAGAUGAGUCGGUUUUGGCUGCUUUAAACCAUUCUUCGGUGCAACUUUGUUCGGUGCUUGAGCGGGCUGAACUUGGAGUUUCUUCGACUUCGGCAUUUUUUUUAAUACUUAAAAAUAGCUCGUUGAAUAACGUAAUACAUGUUGCGAUGAUUGGUUCAGUAUAUAUCAACUACCGACCCGUUUCUUGCAGCAGCAAGUGACAAACGGACCAUUUCAUUCGACGUAGAAAUUAUCCUGUUGGAGGAAAAAGAUUCGACGAUAAUAAUCAAGAAUGACGAUGCCGGAUACUGGGAGAACAACAACACUGUAAAAGAUGCUGAUCAACAGUAAUAAUACAUCAACAGAAAAGACAGAUUCACAAGAAAUUGUUUGAGCCAGUUUACGUAAUUAGGCAAUUGACUCCCGCAUUCCUCAACACAGGUUUCAAGUUUACUAAAAUUGCUGAACAGCAAAUCUGAAUUAACUGAUCUAAUACUCUGUGGGAGUACUCUACUACAUUCCAAGCGAGGAAAACACCUGUUUAUUGAUGUUUCACCAGGAAAAUACUACCAUUUUGGUGUAGAGGCAGCCCCCUACAGUGUUAGAGUCGAAAGGAAUACAAAUCCCUCUUGAGUUGAAGCUUUUACUCAACGUGGAUGGAAUUCCAAUGAGAAAGAGUAUAACAUCAGAAUUCUGACCGAUUCUUUUUAGAAUUCUUGGUAGUAAUUAGCAUUUUUAAUCGAUUUUACUACCUCUAUGUAAAUUGAUCAAAAUA
This 1745-nucleotide long non-coding RNA is filed under the name Daphnia pulex (common water flea). RNAcentral describes it as "uncharacterized LOC124204413". The record is from RNAcentral. Lineage: Eukaryota; Metazoa; Arthropoda; Branchiopoda; Diplostraca; Daphniidae.